This 301-nucleotide ribosomal RNA is filed under the name uncultured bacterium. RNAcentral's name for it is "partial 16S ribosomal RNA". It matches the Rfam family "Bacterial small subunit ribosomal RNA", at positions 509 to 807 of the family's 1533-position model. The record is from RNAcentral.
CAGCAGCCGCGGGAAUACAGAGGGUGCGAGCGUUAAUCGGAUUUACUGGGCGUAAAGCGUGCGUAGGCGGCUAAUUGAGUCGGAUGUGAAAUCCCCGAGCUUAACUUGGGAAUUGCAUUCGAUACUGGUUAGCUAGAGUGUGGGAGAGGAUGGUAGAAUUACAGGUGUAGCGGUGAAAUGCGUAGAGAUCUGGAGGAAUACCGAUGGCGAAGGCAGCCAUCUGGCCUAACACUGACGCUGAGGUACGAAAGCAUGGGGAGCAAACAGGAUUAGAUACCCCGGUAGUCCCUGUCUCUUAUAC